AUAGGCCUGGGUGUGGUCCUAGAACCCACAUUUUAUGACAUACAUGACCCUCCUCCACCAUCACUGAAGUCACAGCAGCUGUGCAGGAGGUUCUAGAUCAUGGCUGUAGGAACACUGGGUGUCUCCCAACCGGUGAAAAUCAGCAGCCUGUUGAGGUUUCUAGGUCAUUUCACCAGGGGUGGGCAGUGAUCCGUGCACAAAUCAAGCAGUGUGAGAAGAUAGAUCACUGAGAGAAGGGGCUCUGUUUAUCCACAAACAUCUCGACAACUUGCGGUAAUGGAAAAGGAGACACAGCUCUGGGACUGCUUCGUUUUCCGUGUGAAUAACACUAAUGCAGAGAUCAUUUCAAAGUAUCCCUUUGGACAGAUGUUUACACGCUACCAAACAUAAUCCAGGCAGUUUCAAAUCCAGGAACAAACACAGGAAGAGAAAUAGGGAUAUCGGACUUUCUGACCCAAAAUUUCAUAAUUAUAAUCCCACCUCUACCAAUGCUGUGAACCAGAACAGUCCUGGGAGUGGGGCAGAAGACAGUUCUUAAGAGAAUAUACCAGCAGGUAUUGUUCUGGAAAUAUGUGUAAGAAUAAACUCUGACAUUCAAGACUUCAUGAGUAAGAGGAUGAAGAGAAGGAAAUAGCAAGGCACAAAGGACAUCUUGCAGCAAGCCCCAGAGCUUUCACCAUCUUCUUGAAAUGUCUGUGAUGUUGCUUUGUACGUCAUGUCGUCAUGGGCGUCUCUACAUCCAGCUUCAUGAAGGAAAUGGCCUAUAGGAUGUGAAGAAUCGGUGGUAUUUGAAAACCUGCUGAGGGGGUUGGAAGGAAGUUUAGAGCUCUUUGAACUCAAACAUCCGCUUGGAUAUUCAACCAGAACAUGGCCAAUGCACAGUCGGGUGGUAAAACUAGAAAGGAAAUCAAGGAUGCAAUGACUCUAAAAAUCGGGGCAGUGGUUACUCCAUGGGAUAUUUGUGAUCAGGAGGAACCAUGGGGUGAGUGGUUGGCAGGGUUCUAUUUCUUGACCUGGGUGGUGGUUGCAGUAUGUCAUUAAACCGCAUUGGGAUACUUUAAGCCUGGUUUCCUUAUGUGACGUUUUCCACAAUGAACAAUAACAAAAA
Molecule: non-coding RNA, 1108 nt
Organism: Microcebus murinus (gray mouse lemur)
Lineage: Eukaryota; Metazoa; Chordata; Mammalia; Primates; Cheirogaleidae
Source: RefSeq, a predicted model, not a curated record